Molecule: non-coding RNA, 719 nt
Organism: Nothobranchius furzeri (turquoise killifish)
Lineage: Eukaryota; Metazoa; Chordata; Actinopteri; Cyprinodontiformes; Nothobranchiidae
Source: RefSeq, a predicted model, not a curated record
UGAGGCUGGAUAAUAUUGAUGGAAAUUGUGUGUGUUCUGUUGGACCAGAUUGCUGCCAAUAAAAGCAAGUUGAAGAAUAAUCUGGUGCCAUAAUCUGCUUUUUGGUGAAUGUGGAGCACAAGAGUGAUGACACAAAUUGUCCAGACCACAUCUACUGAGCAGCGUGCCUGUCAAAUGACUCCCUAGCCUUCUUCCAGUUUCUGAACCCCAGAGAAAUAUAGGACUGUAAUGGAGCCAGGGGAAGAUUUUGAACCAGCUCUCCUGGAAGUGAAGAGUGCGGUUCGGCAGAGUUUGUGGCUCGAUUAGCUGUGCUGCUGGUUGGUAUGGGGAACCUGGACCCUCAGCUGUAUGGAUCUGGUUUGCGUGUGGAGCGUUAUCCUGCUUCCCCACAUCAGUAGCUGAUGACUCGACCUAUAAUUUGAACCAAUGCAAAGCCCUGCAGAUGGAUAAAACUUGCACAUGUUUGCUUCCUGAACCCUCACCUGCUGAAUCUGAUCUGAGCUUGUUUCAACACUCUCCAUUUCUUCAUCCAGUGAUUGCACUUGCUGUAAGAGUAUACCAAAUUUGGUUUCAUAUUUACUGUAAGGUUAUAUGAUUUUCUGUUGAUGUGAAUUUCACCUCUCCAUUCUCAGCUGCCUGUUCCUGAAUGUGUUCAUUUUCCUCUGUCACAUGCUGUUCCUGAUAGAAAAUGGAUAUUCAAAUAAACAUUACAACUUUUG